CGUGCCUAAUACAUGCAAGUCGAGCGGACAGAUGGGAGCUUGCUCCCUGAUGUUAGCGGCGGACGGGUGAGUAACACGUGGGUAACCUGCCUGUAAGACUGGGAUAACUCCGGGAAACCGGGGCUAAUACCGGAUGGUUGUUUGAACCGCAUGGUUCAAACAUAAAAGGUGGCUUCGGCUACCACUUACAGAUGGACCCGCGGCGCAUUAGCUAGUUGGUGAGGUAACGGCUCACCAAGGCAACGAUGCGUAGCCGACCUGAGAGGGUGAUCGGCCACACUGGGACUGAGACACGGCCCAGACUCCUACGGGAGGCAGCAGUAGGGAAUCUUCCGCAAUGGACGAAAGUCUGACGGAGCAACGCCGCGUGAGUGAUGAAGGUUUUCGGAUCGUAAAGCUCUGUUGUUAGGGAAGAACAAGUACCGUUCGAA
This 431-nucleotide ribosomal RNA is filed under the name Bacillus sp. GR1-22. RNAcentral describes it as "bacterial SSU rRNA". It matches the Rfam family "Bacterial small subunit ribosomal RNA", at positions 43 to 464 of the family's 1533-position model. Lineage: Bacteria; Bacillati; Bacillota; Bacilli; Caryophanales; Bacillaceae. The record is from RNAcentral.